RNAcentral lists this unclassified non-coding RNA (527 nucleotides) under Hevea brasiliensis (rubber tree). The record is from RNAcentral. Lineage: Eukaryota; Viridiplantae; Streptophyta; Magnoliopsida; Malpighiales; Euphorbiaceae.
AAUUUUUUUUUUUUUGGAGCGUUAUUAGAUUAAAAAAAAAAAAAAGUUGAAACUGAGGCAAAUGCCAUAAAAUAUUGUAUUCUUUGGUAACUAUAUGCAAACCUCAAGGACUAAUGUAAUUUAUCUUUAAAGGAUAAAAUAAAACCAGUGUCGCAUCUGGGCUUGCAGUUUGCAGCGCAACUUUUCUGCUAAUUCUUCCUUCCUCAAACUUAAAUUGGCAUGUGUUUAUCGAUGGGUCCUUAUUUAAGCAUUCUUUGGUCUUCAACUAUUGUUUGAUAUUUUGCUUCAUGGUGCUUAAAUUAGUUAACUUUGGCUAAAUAUGAAAGGAGUGCUUCUUGUAAAUUUUAAUCUUUGUCUUAUUAUUUCCUUAGUUUUGGGGUUUUCUGUGAUGAUUUAUUUGCUUAGGACUAGAAUUCAUGGUGACCCUUUUAGUAUUUCAGUGAUAGAAACUAGCUUUCAUUGUGAAUUACUGCAUAUUUGAUUUGCUUGGUUUUUGGUUUGUUGUAGUUGAUGGUGAAUAUUCCCAA